Molecule: small RNA, 181 nt
Filed under: Arabidopsis thaliana (thale cress)
Lineage: Eukaryota; Viridiplantae; Streptophyta; Magnoliopsida; Brassicales; Brassicaceae
Description: ATSL215670
Source: RNAcentral
AAGUAUAGAGAUAAAAAUAGAGAUGAGUUGGAAAUGAUAUGAAGGAAUAGAUUAGAAAGAAUCUAUAUAUACAUUUUUGCAGCCAUUUUCGCAAAUAAAUCCUAGACUUGUACUUAUUUACAAUCUAAUGCCAUUAGCAUUAAAUCUUUUUUCCAAAAUAAUUAAUUUUACUUUAAAUUUU